Long non-coding RNA from Capsicum annuum, 586 nucleotides. RefSeq lists it as uncharacterized. The record is from RefSeq and is a predicted model, not a curated record. Lineage: Eukaryota; Viridiplantae; Streptophyta; Magnoliopsida; Solanales; Solanaceae. The transcript has 2 exons.
CUGAUAUUGAGUUCAUUUGAUAUUGUGUUCCUAUAAACUAUCUGUUAGGUUGUCUGGUCCAACACUAUCGUAUUAAUAUUGUGUUCUUUUACUAUUUGUAAGUUUUUUGUAAGUGUUCAGUGAAAGAUAUGAGCAUAUCCAAUAAUGACAUUGAGCCUGACAGCGAUAUUAAAGAUUACAUCUCAUACAUUGCAGUUUGUGAUCAGUGUGAACAGAUUUCUCAUAAACAGAGAUUAUUAUUUCUCACACGCAACAUACAUCUAGGCCCAAUAUGAUAUGGGUUAUUGAUCUUCUUCAUGGGCAUCGCAUGCAUACCGUUCUGGUGCCCAGUCCUAACAGCGUCAGUGAACCCGAGAACCUUUGUCUACAUUUCUGCAGUGGUAAGUCCUCAUGGUUCGAGGAUCUAUGUUCCAGUUAUUCUGUAUUAUCAGUUGUUAUUUUAUUUCCUUUCAUUUGAGUAUGAGUCAGUUGGGGAUCUGUCCCAAUGGCUCUCUAACUCUUGAGUAAUAGAGGCUUUGUCAGACAAGAUUAUUAAUUGUGUUUGGACUUUUCGGUAUUUGAUACUCGAACUAUGUUUUCCAGUUAA